ACACCUCAACUCUCGUGGCCUUGCCAUGAUGAGCUUGGACUUUUGUGGGGGUCUUGCUGGCCUGUGGUCAGCUCCUCUGAAAUGAAUAAGCUUGCCAGUGUUUGGUGGCAUCACAGGUGUGAUAACUAUCUACGCUUGUGGUUUUCCACCAGGUAACCUUCAGCGAUGAAGGUUCGCUGGGGCUCAUAAAUGUCUCUCCUCAGCGAGGACAGCUCUUUGAAC
This 222-nucleotide unclassified non-coding RNA is filed under the name uncultured Tomentella. Its description in RNAcentral is "sequence contains ITS2". The record is from RNAcentral. RNAcentral also lists the same sequence under 1 other name. Lineage: Eukaryota; Fungi; Basidiomycota; Agaricomycetes; Thelephorales; Thelephoraceae.